AAAGAGUGAGAAAAGCGCUUACAAUUUAAAUGAGACUGCCAAGCAUCUCUGAAGGAAUAUUUCAGGGACUGAAGAAGGAAUAAUGGUGCCAACUGGAAGGUGUUCACAUAUGGAUCCCCCAAGAAAUCCCUUAUGGAUCCCCCAAGAAAAUGCCAAGCAUGCUAAAGCAGAAUGACUUCUUGCUGCAGCCCAGACAGCACACCCUGGGAAGCUACAGCCCUCAGCACACCAGAACCAGACAUCCUUGUGCUCCAACAGACAGCUCUUCCUGCUGCUGGCCAGUUUAUGAGUUGAAGUGUGGAAGAAAUUGCUAAUAUCACUACAAAAGAAGAAUUAUGCUAAAAGCUUAAACUGCUGCUAAGUUGCAACCAUAGCCUCUUUCCAGCAGCAUGAGUGUAAUCUGCUAAGACAGCACUGCAAAUGUCUCCCCCACACAUGUGACAGCAACAUACAGACCAGCUUCAACACAGCUUCCUUCGAAGCAAUUGACUCCUUAUUUAAUGCAUCUAUCUGGUUUACUUCCUCUUAAAAAUGAGGAAUAUCCUCUGUCUGUUUAAUGAGACAUCAGCUGUCUCACUUAAGGUAAAUAUAUCCAUCUAUCUAUCACCAAUCCAGGAAGGAGAACCCACAGAGGGCUGCAGAAGACAGAGAUAUGACUUAGAAGCCAAGAGAGUGUUUUACAAAAUAUCACUACGCUUUCAUGUUUACGUAUGGUUAUUUGACAAACAGAGAGAAGAACAGAACAACAUCAAAUCUUAGCCAGAAUCACUGUGUUCCUAUUGCAGGAUUGGAGAAACAACAUUGGUUAUCUCUUGUGAAGCAGCAAAAACUCCACUGGGAAAGAAGGAGUCAGCUGGGAUUUUCUCUCUUCACAAAACUUUAACUGGAAAAGUUAACUGCAGUACAUAAUUAAGCUAUUUCAAGGUACCAGUGACUACUGAAGUGUUUCUCAAUAAAGCUGUUUUAUCAAGUAAUUUUUUACAUAAGUAAAAGGCUGUUCUGACUUUCAAAUUCCCCAUGAACACUCCUGAAUUCUCUCCAAACAAAAGCAGAACGCAUGUCUUCACUGACUUGAAUGGCCUUCCCUAUCUCCCCAGUCAGAGCUGAAGGAACUGACCUUGGCCCCUCCAAGUCACUCACAAGAUUCAACAGAAAAUAUUUUUGUCCAGCAAUCUGUGAUUUCAGGAGGAGAUUGAAUCAGAGGCAGUGCAUUUAUUGCAAUAACGAAGACAGAUUCUUGUCACUUGGCAUAGCGCAGUAAGUGGCCCUAGAAAGCCCCCAACGAACAUCUGUCUUGUGAAGUCACUUGGGAGGUCUGGGACUGCUGGGGUGGAAGGAGCCUGGAGCAUCAAUUACACAAACAGUUCCUCUUGGAGGAACCAUAAAACUGGGUACUAAGAAGACAAUCCAGGGGAGAUCCACAAGAAGGUGUGCAGCACCAUUUUUGGCCUUCAAGCUGCACAGCAAAACCCACAGUCCUAAGAAACCCUUACAGGGCUAGGAGGGGUGGUUUUCAACAACGAUGCUGUGUGACACUCACAGCACAGGUUUGACUGAAGAAUCACAGAAUUGUAGGGGCUGGAAGGGACCUCUAGAGAUCAUUGAGUCCAAACCCCGUGCCAAAGCAGGCUCCCUACAGCAGGCUGCAUAGAUUGGUGUCCAGAUGGGUCUUGAACAUCCCCAGAGAAGGAGACUCCACAACCCCCCUGGGCAGCCUGUUCCAGUGCUCCUUCACCCUCACUGUGAAGAAGUUCUUACACACGUUUGUGCGCAACUCCCUGUACUUCAGCUUGUGGCCGCUUCCCCUGGCAUAGAGCUCAUGUUCUAUGCAAUAUAGGGAGGGACAAAUUAAACCUUGAAUUAGACACCAGUAUUAUUAGACACUAGUAAAACAGAGACUUGACCUUCCAUCACUUUGAUUUCUAUUGUGCAUCUUGUACAGCAAAGCUCAGUACAGGCUAUAAAGACCUCCUUUCAGCUGGAAACUCAGUAAACCAACACAACAAAGCCAUUUACUACCCACAAGAAGAAUCAGGGACCAGACUUUGUUUACAUCUUACAUUUCCAAACUGGAUAAAAGGCAGCUUAUUCCUGAGAAGAGUUGCAAAUGCAUCACAAAGGACAUGCACUGCUUCAGCCUGGGCAGCUCUUUACAGCCAAAUAUGCUGGUGUUCUAUGCACGUGUAUGGGGGUGCAUGUAUUUGUGUGGGGGGGGCAUUUAAUGCUUGGGAAAGGGAGGAAAACCGUUUCCUUCCCACUAGCAUACUGCAGCCAAGAGACCACCUGCAAAGACGUUGGCUGCAGCCAUCCAGCUUUUCAUUUUGAAUGUGUGCUCAGCCCCUCAGAAUAAAAACAUACUACUCAGCAUCACUACUUCCAGACCUGGGAGCCACCACGAUUCAGUGUUGUUCACUGGCUGCAAAGAAUGGGGGGCUGACAAAUCAAGUCAAAAAGUCAAGACAGCUGCAGUUGCACUAUAAAGAAGUUAGUGCCAAGUUUUCUCUAUAAAAACAGAGCUUAAAAGUAAUUUUCAGAACUUGACUGGAUUUUCACCUGUAGUAUUCCACCUGUUCAUUUCAUAGCAACAAUUUCAAACUCUCACAUAAUGACAUGUGAGAUUUUUAAAGAGCUGAUUUAGUUUAUGUUCUACUACUUAUGCUUUGUUUGAUACCACUCCCCCUUAGAAUUUAUAUCAAGAAAUUGAUGCAGUGGCAAAUAAAAAGCGACCUGUAGAUCACCCAACCUGUUCAGCAAUUCCAUUUCACGCUGAAAGGCAGUUCAGGAAACUCACGUUUUGAGAAUGAAUUUGAAUGCAUACUGGAUCCUGUAGUUGUUCACAUUGUCCACAUACACUGACAGGGGUUCCUGGUAGUCACAAAACAUCACUUCUGCCUCCAGCAUGCCUGGCCUUGAGGCCUAUUUCUUCAGCAGUGACUACUGCCUGAGAGCUCUGAGAAGAGGAACCAUUUAGACCUGUGAGCUUCUUCACCACGUUAGCAGGGAGACAUCCUACAAGUUCGAGAGAGAGCCAGCACACUGUUGAUGGUUAGAAGACUGGAUUAACUCAAGAGAGUCAAAACAAACCUGACACAGAGGUGACAGUCACCAAUGGUUCAAAGCUACACUGUUUUGCUCAGCAGCCUCCAUUUAUCCAGCUGCAUUUUGUACUUACAGAAGUUCACUGCUCAGCUCACAGUUACUACCACGAAAAGAUGAAUCCAGGUGCUUUUCCAAACAGCUAAUGUAAAGGUCCAUUUUCUCAAGAGUUUGAGAAGUCUUCACAAGCAAGCUACAAGCUUUUAUUAAUAUUGAUCUCCUGACUAAAAAUAAGUUGUUAAUCAAACAAGUAAGCCAUCCAUACACUGAAAAAAAGUGAAAACUAACUGCAAUAGGAUCAUAAACACAAAUUCAUAUGAAAUAUCAGUAAAAAUAUCCAUAGAAUAAAUCUGCAAAACUUUAAUAUAAAAGAUUCUGUAUAACAUUUCAAUAAAGAAAGCCCACAGAGCAAGUGUUGCCCAGAACAGGCGCAGCAUAUACAGUAUUCCAAGACUUGGACACACAUUUCACACAAAUCUCGAGGACAGCAGUUGUGAAAGGCUGUGUUUCUAGCCUCUUUAAAAAGGAACCCAUUGGAUUUUUGAGUGACUUGACUUCAAGCAUUCAUAUUCAGAUCCAUCAAGGACUGGGUCUUAAAGUGGCACAUACCUCAUCUGAAAUAUACAUUGGUUCUCUAAAGUCUUCAGUCACGUCUUAUGUAUAGCUCUAGUUUUCAAGCCUCCCACUUAACAGCUUUAUCCUUAAUCAAAACAUUAUGAACAGUGCUCACAGCAGCUUCUCCAUGGACAUUUUGUCUAUACUGAGAUUGCAGGAACUUCCAUUAAAAAAAACACAUCAAUCUUAGCAGAGGACAGAU
This is a long non-coding RNA of Gallus gallus (chicken), 3913 nucleotides long. RefSeq lists it as uncharacterized. The record is from RefSeq and is a predicted model, not a curated record. Lineage: Eukaryota; Metazoa; Chordata; Aves; Galliformes; Phasianidae. The transcript has 2 exons.